RNAcentral lists this ribosomal RNA (1498 nucleotides) under uncultured bacterium. RNAcentral's name for it is "bacterial SSU rRNA". It matches the Rfam family "Bacterial small subunit ribosomal RNA". The record is from RNAcentral.
AGAGUUUGAUCCUGGCUCAGAUUGAACGCUGGCGGUAUGCUUAACACAUGCAAGUCGAACGGAAACGAUACUAGCUUGCUAGUAGGCGUCGAGUGGCGGACGGGUGAGUAACGCGUAGGAAUCUGCCUGAUAGUGGGGGAUAGCCCGGAGAAAUUCGGAUUAAUACCGCAUAAUCUAUUCGUAGUAAAGUGGGGGACUUUCGAGCCUCACGCUAUCAGAUGAGCCUGCGUAAGAUUAGCUAGUUGGUAGGGUAAAAGCCUACCAAGGCGAUGAUCUUUAGCUGGUCUGAGAGGAUGAUCAGCCACAUCGGGACUGAGACACGGCCCGAACUCCUACGGGAGGCAGCAGUGGGGAAUAUUGGACAAUGGGGGCAACCCUGAUCCAGCAAUACCGCGUGUGUGAAGAAGGCCUGAGGGUUGUAAAGCACUUUCAAUUGUGAAGAAAAGUUAGCGGUUAAUAACCGUUAGCCUUGACGUUAACUUUAGAAGAAGCACCGGCUAACUCCGUGCCAGCAGCCGCGGUAAUACGGAGGGUGCAAGCGUUAAUCGGAAUUACUGGGCGUAAAGCGUGCGUAGGCGGUUUAUUAAGUCAGAUGUGAAAGCCCCGGGCUUAACCUGGGAACUGCAUUUGAAACUGGUAAACUAGAGUAUGGUAGAGGAAAGUGGAAUUUCUGGUGUAGCGGUGAAAUGCGUAGAUAUCAGAAGGAACAUCAAUGGCGAAGGCAGCUUUCUGGACCAAUACUGACGCUGAGGUACGAAAGCGUGGGUAGCAAACAGGAUUAGAUACCCUGGUAGUCCACGCCGUAAACGAUGAUAACUAGCCGUUGGGGGGAUUUACCCUUUAGUGGCGAAGCUAACGCGUUAAGUUAUCCGCCUGGGGAGUACGGCCGCAAGGUUAAAACUCAAAGGAAUUGACGGGGACCCGCACAAGCGGUGGAGCAUGUGGUUUAAUUCGAUGCAACGCGAAGAACCUUACCUGGUCUUGACAUCCUGCGAACUUUCUAGAAAUAGAUUGGUGCCUUCGGGAACGCAGUGACAGGUGCUGCAUGGCUGUCGUCAGCUCGUGUCGUGAGAUGUUGGGUUAAGUCCCGUAACGAGCGCAACCCCUAUCCUUAUUUGCCAGCACAUCAUGGUGGGAACUAUAAGGAGACUGCCGGUGAUAAACCGGAGGAAGGCGGGGACGACGUCAAGUCAUCAUGGCCCUUACGACCAGGGCUACACACGUGCUACAAUGGGAAGGACAAAGAGCCGCGAAGCCGCGAGGUGUAGCUAAUCUCAUAAACCUUUUCGUAGUCCGGAUUGGAGUCUGCAACUCGACUCCAUGAAGUCGGAAUCGCUAGUAAUCGUAGAUCAGAAUGCUACGGUGAAUACGUUCCCGGGUCUUGUACACACCGCCCGUCAUACCAUGGGAGUGGGUUGCACCAGAAGUGGCUAGUCUAACUUAGUGAGGACGGUCACCACGGUGUGAUUCAUGACUGGGGUAAAGUCGUAACAAGGUA